CGAAAGCCUGACGGAGCAACGCCGCGUGAGGGAUGAAGGCCUCUGGGCUGUAAACCUCUUUUCUCAAGGAAGAAGAUCUGACGGUACUUGAGGAAUAAGCCACGGCUAAUUCCGCGCCAGCAGCCGCGGUAAUACGGGAGUGGCAAGCGUUAUCCGGAAUCAUUGGGCGUAAAGCGUCCGCAGGCGGCCUUGUAAGUCUGUCGUUAAAGCGUGGAGCUUAACUCCAUUUCAGCGAUGGAAACUACAAGGCUUGAGUGUGGUAGGGGCAGAGGGAAUUCCCGGUGUAGCGCUGAAAUGCGUAGAUAUCGGGAAGAACACCAGUGGCGAAGGCGCUCUGCUGGGCCAUAACUGACGCUCAUGGACGAAAGCCAGGGGAGCG
This 379-nucleotide ribosomal RNA is filed under the name uncultured cyanobacterium. Its description in RNAcentral is "bacterial SSU rRNA". It matches the Rfam family "Bacterial small subunit ribosomal RNA", at positions 376 to 770 of the family's 1533-position model. The record is from RNAcentral. Lineage: Bacteria; Bacillati; Cyanobacteriota.